GGCACUGUUUUGUUGUUGUCAGUAUUUAGGCCCAUACAUGUAGACUUUUUCUCUCUCUCUCAAUAAAUAACCUUUUUUAUUGGCCUUCUGCUGAGAAGCUGAAGCCAAGAAUAAAUGUUUUAAAAGGAAGAAUCUUGUGUUAAAUGUCUACUGUGGUUUUGUGGGAGACAGGAGAGGGAGAGACAUCAGAAGACAAGACUACAGCAUUUUCUGUCAGACAUGGCAAUAUUAGGAUCCUUACUGGGUUUCCAUUAUUUUCAGCCUUGGCUGAGAGGGAAAGAGGAGCUGCUACUGACUAUUGUAAAUGAAGAUCUGGGAUGGCCUUCUCCUGGUUUUCCUGCCUCGGUUGUAUCAUCCUGCACCAGUCCUACUUGCAGUAGCAGUUACAAUCUGGACAGUGACUAUGCCAGCUUCCCAUUACCUAUCAAAGGUCCACAACUGCAACUCAGACCUCAGUCUCCACAGAGCACUCAACAGCAGCCAAGCAGGAGUAAUGAUUUGCAUCUUCUCCCAGCUUCUCCCAGUGAGAAGGAGAUCGCUGUGCCAGAAAUGAAUCGGCCCCUUUUCCUGUUGGCUGGCUAUGCUAAAUAUGGAUGGCCAUAUGCAUGGAUAUAAUCCAAUCAUGAACGUUUGAUUAGUGUCGGAGGUGCUGACUCACUGGCCAAAGAUACACCAAUGAAACUCAAAUCCAUCACAUACUGGGUUUUAACUUAUCAAGAACACGGGUGUGGGAUGUCACUAAUGAGCUGUUGGGUCUGUGCGCCAUGGCCCCUCCAGAUAAUCUUUUCUCUCUGACUACCUCCAAACCCUUCCCUUCCCAGAGCGCUUACUUGCAACUGGAGCACUCCUUAACUUCUUGGAGAUGAUUGUGGUUCAAGGAAGUCGCAAGGAACCAUUCUAUGAUCUGGGUGGGUGCCAUGCCGGAAAUUCUGAGCCUGCUGAAUCUGGUUUUACGGUAAAUGGAAUAGGAGCAGUGGACAGUCCUUAUUUAAUAGGAUCUACGAAGUUGUGGAGGAGAUCCAAGUCCUUGAGGCAACUCCUUUUUCAGAGUCUCGCUGAACUCCUGAAACACCGUAAUGUCCAGAGCAAGAGCCUCUCAAAACUGGACUCUGCAGAGGAGCAGCAGCCUUCGUCAAACAGCCAUGGACCUGGAGAUGACUAGACUGACUUUGAACACAAUAUAACAGUAGUAGGUUCUCAGUGACAACAACCAAGAUGAUAUUCAGAUGCAUAUAAACCAGAAGGUCCUGUUAUUUUAUUCUUCCAAAUGUAUAAGAAGUUCUCUUUAUCUCACAGUAGAUUAGGAACUUUUGGAAUCAUAGGUAUUUUACUCACUUUACUCUGGACAUCUACUUGAGAAAUAAAUAAUAAACCUUGAACAUUUUUAUUGCCAAGUAUUCCUGCUUGGCUUAAUUAUUACUAUUGCUUAAUUGCUCAUCUGAGGCUGCUGUUUGCCAUCUAUAAAAUGUAUAUGAAAGAUGAUGAAGCCUGUGCUUGCCAAAGAUGUGGGGAUUUUAGGUGUUUUUUUUUUUGAGGAUACAAGCCCUUCAGUGUCUUGGCAAAAAGUGAACAUAAUUUCUCAUGACACUGUAUAUAAACACUCAACUAAGUCCCACUCAGGCCCAAUUGUAUAAAAAGUAUUCGUUUUUUUGUGUGGAAUUCCAGGACAAAUUGCUCAGUGAUGACAAGUUUCCUUAUGGUCUUUCAGCAAUAAUAUUAUAGUAUGUUGUCCCCAUCCAAUAUUACAGAAAGAGAUGAGACAAUGGCACAUAUUACUGU
This is an RNA transcript of Ictalurus furcatus (blue catfish), 1779 nucleotides long. RefSeq lists it as uncharacterized. NCBI's taxonomy places the organism in Eukaryota, Metazoa, Chordata, Actinopteri, Siluriformes, Ictaluridae. The record is from RefSeq and is a predicted model, not a curated record. The transcript has 7 exons.